GACGAACGCUGGCGGCGUGCUUAACACAUGCAAGUCGAGCGGUAAGGCCCUUCGGGGUACGACGAGCGGCGAACGGGUGAGUAACACGUGGGUGACCUGCCUCUAGCUCUGGGAUAAGCCUGGGAAACUGGGUCUAAUACCGGAUAUGACUCCACGGCGCAUGUUGUGGGGUGGAAAGCCUUGUGUGGCUAGAGAUGGGCCCGCGGCCUAUCAGCUUGUUGGUGGGGUGAUGGCCACCAAGGCGACGACGGUAGCCGGCCUGAGAGGCGACCGGCCACACUGGGACUGAGACACGGCCCAGACUCCUACGGGAGGCAGCAGUGGGGAAUCUUGCGCAAUGGGCGAAAGCCUGACGCAGCGACGCCGCGUGAGGGAUGAC
RNAcentral lists this ribosomal RNA (379 nucleotides) under uncultured bacterium. Its description in RNAcentral is "bacterial SSU rRNA". It matches the Rfam family "Bacterial small subunit ribosomal RNA", at positions 28 to 412 of the family's 1533-position model. The record is from RNAcentral.